RNAcentral lists this long non-coding RNA (1154 nucleotides) under Ananas comosus (pineapple). Its description in RNAcentral is "long non-coding RNA (ACOM_LNC030418)". The record is from RNAcentral. Lineage: Eukaryota; Viridiplantae; Streptophyta; Magnoliopsida; Poales; Bromeliaceae.
CAUGAGUGAAAGAAAGGGAACUAAACAUCUACUCAAGUAUUAUGAUUCAACUUUUGAUCACAUACAUGUAUCUAUUUCAUCCAACUUGUACAUUCAUGAUUCUUUACAUUGCUUGCAUCAUUUCUUUUAUAUCACAUUGGCUCAAAAUAAACAUUACAUUCUUUUCUUUCUUUGCUUUAUACAUCAACAUCUUAAAUCAUCAAAUACAAAAGAUGAUAAAAGGGUAAACUACUAACAAAAUAUAAAGCUCGACUUGGGUGGCCACUGUCUAGGGUGCGAUACCUUUACCGCGGUCGCUCGCCGGCUGGCUCGGUCCCGGCUCUGUGGAAUAGUGGGGUGAGAACUACAACAAAGUUUCCAGUGGGUUCGGCCCCAAUCUCACCGACUUUCCCACUAGGACUGACUCAGGCAUAAUAGAAAGGAUAAGCAGAAUAGUAACCAAACUAUAAUCAUGAUGCUAAUAUGCCUGAACAAUAAAGCAAGAAAUAUGCUCAACGUAAAUCAUGCAAGUAUGCAAGUUCUUUGUUCUUUACUCUUUAUUCUUUAAUCUUUGUUCUUUGUUCUUUAAUCUCACGGCUAACCCGGGGGUUUCGCCACAUUAACUUGCCCACAUUAAGUCCAUCAUCGCGGGCCCUCAGCUGCCUCCCGCUAAGACCGUCCUCGGGUUUACUCCAACCCGUGAUGCAAAACUCCGGAGCGCAUCGCUCGAGGGGGAGCGACCGCCCUCGAGCACGGAACUCAUAGCAAGUAUGAUCGAUCCUUAACUCUAAGGAUAUAUAGUUCAAUCAUUGUCUUUACACUAACUCUAGUGUUCUUUACAUCACUUUAUUUUGCUAACUCUAGCAAUCAUUGUUCUUUAACUUUACUCGUUCUUUAUGCCAUACUUUGCAUUAACUUUAACCAUUAUCAUUGUUCUUUUCAUCACAUUGAUUCUUUGAGGCCACACACUAACUCUAGUGUCGACUAUAUACUUUCGAAUGCCACUCGAUCUAUGCUCUUGUGUCACUUUGUUCUUUUAUCUCAUUAGGUUCUCACAUUACCUCUCAUGCAUAUAUAGGGUGUUAUAGGUUCUCAACCAACUAGAAAUGCACGUGUACUCACAUCAUGCAACAUUUACAUAAUUAUCAUCACAUUUUACCCUACAAUGCAUGCAA